UGCCACUAAAAUAGAAGCCUUGCAGGAGUAUAGAGGCCACCUGGCCUCACGAGUAACUGAUGCAGAGAUUCUAGCGGCAACGAGGUCUAUGGCAUUUGAUAAGACAACUAGUCUAGAUGGAUUCCCAACAAGUUUAUCUGAGAGCUACUAGAUUACGUUUUGUGAGGAUAUUUGCAGGGUGAUCAAGGACUUCUUUCAUUGCUAUUGAAUGUCAGAUGCUGGGCAAGCAACUUUCACAAU
This 240-nucleotide long non-coding RNA is filed under the name Elaeis guineensis (African oil palm). RNAcentral describes it as "long non-coding RNA (EGUI_LNC005501)". The record is from RNAcentral. Lineage: Eukaryota; Viridiplantae; Streptophyta; Magnoliopsida; Arecales; Arecaceae.